Non-coding RNA from Oryctolagus cuniculus (rabbit), 2118 nucleotides. The record is from RefSeq and is a predicted model, not a curated record. NCBI's taxonomy places the organism in Eukaryota, Metazoa, Chordata, Mammalia, Lagomorpha, Leporidae.
CUGCUGGCUGCCAGCCAUGGGAGGAUCAAGGCAGGCUGUGGGUGGCGGGGUGCUUUCUAGGAAUACCAUAAGUCCAAGGAUUCAACCAUUUGCAGAUGAAAAAAAUAGAUGCCUCUGUACUGAACACAUCCAGACUUGUGUUUCCUUAUCAUUACUCCUUAAGCAAUAUGCUGUAGCAACUAUUGACAAAGCAUUUACACUGCGUUAGGCAUUGUAGAUAAUCUAGCGAUGAUUUCAGUCUAUGGGAGUGGUGGGUAUUAUGGCACAGCAGGUUAAGCCCCGUCAAUUCAACCAAGGAACCAAUGCCUGUAGAACAUGGAGUACCCAGAAUGCUCUGCGAGUAGCUGGGUCACACGGCCUUGCAGCUGAGGACAGAGAACGGAGCAGUCUGUCUGAGGGGCUUGAUGGAGAUUCUGCAAUGGGCAGAAUCUGACUUUUCCUUAAAUCCAGAUUCUUAGUUCGGAAGCUGUUCUGUGUAGGGGAGGACCCCAGCAGAGGAGGGAACUCGGGCCUCUGUGGAAGGACCCAGCUGUUGGCAAUCAGGGCUCUGGGGAGGGCCUCCAGCCUUGGGGCUGACACCCUUAAUAACCCUGUUCUUCAUUACGACUAAUAAACCUGGUCUUUGUCCAGGGCGAUGCACGCUCCUGUCCAAGUCGCUGUAGUUCAGAGACUGCCUGGAACAGCCACAGGACCUAGUCUGAAAUUCCAGCGCAGGUGCUACGCUUUGAAUACCAUUAGUCACCCAAACUCAUACAGAGUCUGACUCCCAGUCACGAGGAAGGGUAUCAUUUAAACAGACCACAAUAUGAAGUGUGUUCCCUGGAGCCGUGUGACGCAAGGGCCUUGCACUUACUUGCUAGCUUACCUCAACGGCAGAGUCUGCUAAGAACCGUGACGUCUUCAGCUCGGAGUCCGUGCUGUCUGAUCAAGGGGGCAUCAUCAAGGCGUACUCCAGGAGUUGGCGGGAUGUGCUUGAAAUCAAUGAUGAGACGUCCACGGGGGAAUUAGCCUGCUCUGUGGAUAUGAGCUUUACGCCUGAGAUGCUGUAUUGGUUGUCAACUGGGAAGCAGUGAACACAAACCUUCCAGGCAACAGGGUGCUUACCCAUCUUCUGAGGUUCUCGUCUCUAGAGAGGCUGGCCAAAUGGGCUCACCGCUGCAGUCCUGACCUCCGCGGACUGCCAGAGAUAAUGUUUGGCAGGCUAUUGGAACAUCAAAGGCAGUUGGGGUGAGUGGGACAGACAGCCGGCGCUGAGAAAAACUCAAGGCUCUCUUCCAUAUACAGGAUGGAUGGAGGCCUUUCCGACCCGAAUGGAGAAAGCACACGAGGUGUUUCAAGCCAUGUUGAAGGACAUUGUGCCACACUUUGCACUCCCACGGUCACUCCAGAGUGACAAUGGACCUUCAUUUAUAUCUAAAAUGACCCAGCAGAACCCAGCAGCUUCUGAGAAUAAUGACGACCAUGCAGGAGCCACUGAGGAUGCCGGUGACUGAAAGAGCCCCAGCUCAUGAAGCAAACUCAUUAGAUGAGAUAGGCAGAGACUUCCAGACCGAGAACAGGCAGGGUCUGCAACCCUAAUCAGCAGGAAGCAGCUACAGAAGAUGGAGACCCGACGCCCAUCAACAUCCCCUUAAGAUUAAGGUCUGGAGUCUCUGAGGGGGGAAUGAAGUGGGCAGGCAUACAGGUUAAAAGUGUUAGAUUUGUGAACUGGAAGACCACGCCUUUGCCACGCCCCUGUGUGACCUCAUGCCCCUACCUGAUGCCUUUGCCACGCCCCUGAGUGGCCUCAUUCCCCUACCUGGCCACACCUGGGUGCCCACCAGCCAAUCAUGUUAAUUAACCACUCCCCUUUGGAAGUGGGUUAAAAGCCAGGACAUGGUGUGGCCCAGGUGGCUCUUCUUUCCUGGCCUCUUGUCAGGAGGGGGCUUGCUGCAGCCCCGCGCCUCCAGGGCGCAUGGCCUUUGGGCUAAGUGCUCUAGGCUUCCUGGCCCAGAUACAGGCCUAGAUGCUCUUCCAUGUGGCUGGUUCCCGGUGCUCGGGAUGAACCCCUAUUCACCUCUCUCUCCUUAAUAAAGCUCUCACUCGCCUAUGCAUCUUUCUCACUAAAUAAAAGCUUAA